GACGAACGCUGGCGGCGUGCCUAAUACAUGCAAGUCGAACGCACAGUUUAUACCGUAGCUUGCUACACCAUAAACUGUGAGUUGCGAACGGGUGAGUAACGCGUAGGUAACCUGCCUGGUAGCGGGGGAUAACUAUUGGAAACGAUAGCUAAUACCGCAUAAUAUUGAUUAUUGCAUGAUAAUUGAUUGAAAGAUGCUAUUGCAUCACUACCAGAUGGACCUGCGUUGUAUUAGCUAGUAGGUGAGGUAACGGCUCACCUAGGCGACGAUACAUAGCCGACCUGAGAGGGUGAUCGGCCACACUGGGACUGAGACACGGCCCAGACUCCUACGGGAGGCAGCAGUAGGGAAUCUUCGGCAAUGGACGAAAGUCUGACCGAGCAACGCCGCGUGAGUGAAGAAGGUUUUCGGAUCGUAAAGCUCGGUUGUAAGAGAAGAACGGGUGUGAGAGUGGAAAGUUCACACUGUGACGGUAUCUUACCAGAAAGGGACGGCUAACUACGUG
Molecule: ribosomal RNA, 505 nt
Filed under: uncultured bacterium
Lineage: Bacteria
Description: partial 16S ribosomal RNA
Rfam family: Bacterial small subunit ribosomal RNA
Source: RNAcentral